GGUCGCUGCAGAUGCUGGCCUCGGUCGUGUCUGCAACGGCCAUCCGUCUGCGAACCACACUCGGCCUUCACUGGUCGGUAUGGGGAGCAGACCUUUUACUUUGAAAAAAUUAGAGUGUUUAAGGCAGGCAAUUGCCCGAAUACAUUAGCAUGGAAUAAUGGAAUAGGACUGUGGUCUAUUUUGUUGGUUAUUAGAUCAUAGUA
This 203-nucleotide ribosomal RNA is filed under the name uncultured fungus. RNAcentral describes it as "partial small subunit ribosomal RNA". The stretch from base 79 to 203 matches the Rfam family "Eukaryotic small subunit ribosomal RNA", at positions 735 to 863 of the family's 1831-position model. The record is from RNAcentral. Lineage: Eukaryota; Fungi.